Molecule: long non-coding RNA, 1694 nt
Organism: Piliocolobus tephrosceles (Ugandan red Colobus)
Lineage: Eukaryota; Metazoa; Chordata; Mammalia; Primates; Cercopithecidae
Source: Ensembl
AAAUAAAAAAUAGUUAUAGGUUAAGAUGUCAUUAAGUGCUUUUAUAGGAACGUUUGUUAUUCAUAGUAGUGUUUGUAAGACAUGUAUUAAACGUAUCAACAUACUUUAAGAAAUAUUUUUAAUUGUUAUACUAAAAGUGUACUACACUGUAACGUUCCCAAUCGUCACAAAUUGAAAAUGAAAACAUCGAGUUAGAAAAUAAGGCAUUUUUACAUUUACUAACAAAAUACGAAGAAAAAAAAAAAAUUCCGAAUAUAUUAGAAUUUGUUCAUAAUGUAUGUACCAAUUUAUAUGAAAAAGAAGAAAAACUAAAUUAUAAUGUUUUACAUAAAGAUUUUAUAAAUAUAUUAACAAAAUUAAUAAAUGAAAAUAUAUUAAAUUAUAAGAACACUCUUAAUAAUAUUUUAAUAAAUAAAGAUGAAUAUAUAGAAGUGAAUGAAAAACAAAAAGAAAAAGUAACUAAAAAUGAAACAGUUGAUUAUCAUGAAAAUAAUAAAAAUAAUAUAAUUUAUAAUGUUAAUAUAGAAGACCUAAUAAAAAUAAAUAAAAGUAACGACAUUAGUCAAUUGGAUGACCAAACAAAAAAAGUUAAUAGUACUGAUAAUGAUAAAUCAGAAAGUUAUGUAAUAAGUGAAGAGAAGGAGGUAAAAAAUGUUGAAGUAAAAGUGGAAGAAGAGGAAGAAGAGAGAAACGAAAAGGAUUUGGACAAUUUAAUGUCAGAAAAUAAUAUUUGUUUGUAUUGGAGUAAUGAAAAACCAAUAAAACAUUUUUAUAGAAUCCAAAGUUAUGAACCACAUGAAAUUAUUACAAAAACUUGCUUGAAUCCUAUGGAAAAAAAACAAUUAGUACUAAACGAAAUAGAGAAACUUAAAAACAAUAUAAAAAAUGUGACAGUAUAUUUUGAGAAUAUAAAGGUGUUAAUAAAUUCAGUAAUAUGUCAGAGUAAAAUAUAUUUGUUUGAGUUGGAUGAAGAAAUUAAGAAUUAUAAAAUUAUGAGAGAUAACAUCAAAAGUGAUAAUUAUUUAUUAAAAAAAAAUGAGUAUAUAAAUGAUUUUUAUAAUAAAAUAAUAAAAGAACAAAAUAUAAAAUUAGGUGAAACAAAAAAAACAAAUAAAACUUUAAUAAAUUUAUAUAAAAAAAAAUUCGCUAAUGUUAAAUAUAUAAAAGAAAUUAAUAAAAAUAUUAAUAACGUGGAUUUUCUUUAUUUAAAUGUCCUUAUUCAUAAUAAAAAAAUAAAUUAUGACACAUUGAUGAAAGAGCAUGAACGCAAUUACGCCUAUCUAAGAAAAAUUUUAAGCGAAUUAAGUGUAACUCAAAAUGAAAUUAGUGAAAGUGAAAAAAAAGAAAAAGAACUUGUAGAAAACAUUGAAAAAAAUAAUAAUAUUUUGAACGAUAUAGAUGCAUCAAUCAUAGACAUUACGAACAGAAUUGAUAGUACAAAUCAAAUAGCAAAUAAGUAAAUAUUAUAAUAUUAUAAAAUUAUUUUAUGAAAAAAAAAAAAAAAAAAAAAAAAAAUGAUUACGUAAAAAUAGUAAUUGCUAUUUGUACGGAUGGAUGUGUACAUUGUACAUUGUAGUGUGUUGUCUAUUUUUGUUUUUAUCUACUUUGUUUGUUUGUUUGUUUGUUUGUUUGUUUGUUUGUUUGUUUGUUUGUUUGUUUGUUUGUUUGUUUGUUUGUUUGUUUGUUUGUUUGUU